Melospiza melodia melodia is the source of this 692-nucleotide long non-coding RNA. RefSeq lists it as uncharacterized. NCBI's taxonomy places the organism in Eukaryota, Metazoa, Chordata, Aves, Passeriformes, Passerellidae. The record is from RefSeq and is a predicted model, not a curated record. The transcript has 3 exons.
ACAUUGUGCAGCAUUCUGUAGGGCUGUGCUCUCUCUCAUCCCCAGGAAGGACAGACACAGUGGAGGUCCUGGCAGCAGUGCAUUGUCUCAGGCUCACAUUUAUUUAAUAGCGUGGAAAAUCUGCAGAGUUUGGAAGAGUGAGAUCGAUAUUUAAGGCUUCUCAGCUUCCCAGGAGAAGAAUCCUGGGCAAGGGGAUUUUUCCAGAAAAUAUGAUGGUGAGAGUCAUCUCUUCCCAGUCCUGCUCCUCCAGAUCACAGUCAAGUCUGAGAAUGGAUUACAAAUGCACACAGAUGCUCCAACCCAUGAAGUAUUUGGAUUAAUCAUAUUUUUGCAACACAAAGCAACUUUAAAAAGCCUGUUGUUAACUUCCUUCAGCAGACAUGUUACCAAACCACCUUAGUGAAACAUAAUUGCUAGUGGGUAGGUCCUACAUAAUGACAUAUGUGGUUUUGGAUAAGAACAGAAGUCCACACAGCCUGGCAUUCUGUGACUGACAAUAGCCAAAACAAAUAUCCUGGGCAUAUGGGAGAGGGGUGAGCACAUAAUGAUUUUUUCAGGAUAUUUUCCACCUUCCUGAUAUUUUAAAUUCAGAGGUAUCCUGGAAGAAAUGUGAUACUUGCAUAUUUAAGAGAAUGAAGGAGGUAAAUCAGCACCUGUGCCAGUCCUCCACUGCCUCCAUGCCCCACUUAAAA